UUACAGCCAUAUCACGUUGAAACACCGUUUCCCGUACGAUCGGCGAAGUUAAGCAACGUUGAGCCAGACCAAUACCUAGAAGGGUGACAGCUUGGGAAUACCAGGUGCUGUAAG
Molecule: ribosomal RNA, 114 nt
Filed under: Acanthosepion pharaonis
Lineage: Eukaryota; Metazoa; Mollusca; Cephalopoda; Sepiida; Sepiidae
Source: RNAcentral